Molecule: transfer RNA, 72 nt
Filed under: Neotoma lepida (desert woodrat)
Lineage: Eukaryota; Metazoa; Chordata; Mammalia; Rodentia; Cricetidae
Rfam family: tRNA
About the family: Transfer RNA (tRNA) molecules are approximately 80 nucleotides in length. Their secondary structure includes four short double-helical elements and three loops (D, anti-codon, and T loops). Further hydrogen bonds mediate the characteristic L-shaped molecular structure. tRNAs have two regions of fundamental functional importance: the anti-codon, which is responsible for specific mRNA codon recognition, and the 3' end, to which the tRNAs corresponding amino acid is attached (by aminoacyl-tRNA synthetases). tRNAs cope with the degeneracy of the genetic code in two manners: having more than one tRNA (with a specific anti-codon) for a particular amino acid; and 'wobble' base-pairing, i.e. permitting non-standard base-pairing at the 3rd anti-codon position.
Source: Rfam by way of RNAcentral
UAAAAUGUAGCUCAGUGGUAGAACAUUUGUCUUGCAUACAUAAGGCCCUGAAUUUGAUUUUCAGAAUGAUAA